GACGAACGCUGGCGGCAUGCCUAACACAUGCAAGUCGAACGAGACCGUCGGGUCUAGUGGCGCACGGGUGCGUAACGCGUGGGAACAUGCCUUUAGGUUCGGACUAACACCCCGAAAUGGGUGCUAAUAACGGAUACUGUCUUCGGACCCGAGAUUUAUCGCCUUUGGAUGGGCCCGGGUUGGAUUAGGUAGUUGGUAGGGUAAAAGCCUACCAAGGUGACGAUCCUUAGCUGGUCGGAGAGGAUGACCAGCCACACUGGGACUACGACACGGCCCCGUCCCCGACGGGAGGGAGCAGUGGGGAGUAUUGUACGAUGGAGGAAGACCUAGCCAAGCCGUGCCGGGGGAGUGAUGAAGGCCUUAGUGUUGUAAUGCUCUCUUACCCGGGAUGAUAAUGACAGUACCGGGAGAAUAAGCGCCGGCUAACUACGUG
This 433-nucleotide ribosomal RNA is filed under the name uncultured bacterium. Its description in RNAcentral is "partial 16S ribosomal RNA". It matches the Rfam family "Bacterial small subunit ribosomal RNA", at positions 28 to 507 of the family's 1533-position model. The record is from RNAcentral.